This 581-nucleotide ribosomal RNA is filed under the name uncultured Mesodinium sp. RNAcentral's name for it is "eukaryotic LSU rRNA". The stretch from base 1 to 136 matches the Rfam family "Eukaryotic small subunit ribosomal RNA", at positions 1666 to 1831 of the family's 1831-position model. Lineage: Eukaryota; Ciliophora; Litostomatea; Cyclotrichida; Mesodiniidae. The record is from RNAcentral.
ACACCGCCCGUCGCUCCUACCGAUCGAGUGUUUAGGUGAAUUUGAUGGACGUAGGGAAGUCAGAUAAACCUGAGCACUUAGAGGAAGGAGAAGUCGUAACAAGGUUUCCGUAGGUGAACCUGCGGAAGGAUCAUUCCAUUAGCGCGCGAUUCAUUGGUUCUCAACCUGCGUAAGCAGCGUAAUAAAGGUUUUUUAGCUUUGGAGGUGUCGGGUACUGAUCCGAGGAAGGACGCAGUUACACGCGAUAUUCAACCUGAAUCGCAAAACUGCGGAUGGUCGGGUGUCUGAAUGCUCAAAGCCGGAGCUACUGGUCACGCUCUAACACACCCCUUCGGUGUCUCACUUCCGCGUGAUGUGAGAAUUCCAAAAUAUUUUCACGUGACCACUAGCGGGGCAUGUAGUUAAUUUAAGCUUAUAAGUUAAUACACAAAGAAACUAAAUAGGAUGGACCGAGUAGUGGCGAAUGAAAAGUCCAAAGACCGAUCCGAAUUCAAGUUGUGGAUCCUACACUUCGGAAGACUCCAAAUCACCUGGAACGGUGGGCCGUAGAGAGUGAUAGCCUCUUUAGAGUCGGAAGAAGC